This 505-nucleotide ribosomal RNA is filed under the name uncultured bacterium. RNAcentral's name for it is "partial 16S ribosomal RNA". It matches the Rfam family "Bacterial small subunit ribosomal RNA", at positions 28 to 507 of the family's 1533-position model. The record is from RNAcentral.
GACGAACGCUGGCGGCGUGCCUAAUACAUGCAAGUAGAACGCACAGUUUAUACCGUAGCUUGCUACACCAUAAACUGUGAGUUGCGAACGGGUGAGUAACGCGUAGGUAACCUGCCUGGUAGCGGGGGAUAACUAUUGGAAACGAUAGCUAAUACCGCAUAAUAUUGAUUAUUGCAUGAUAAUUGAUUGAAAGAUGCUAUUGCAUCACUACCAGAUGGACCUGCGUUGUAUUAGCUAGUAGGUGACGUAACGGCUCACCUAGGCGACGAUACAUAGCCGACCUGAGAGGGUGAUCGGCCACACUGGGACUGAGACACGGCCCAGACUCCUACGGGAGGCAGCAGUAGGGAAUCUUCGGCAAUGGACGAAAGUCUGACCGAGCAACGCCGCGUGAGUGAAGAAGGUUUUCGGAUCGUAAAGCUCUGUUGUAAGAGAAGAACGGGUGUGAGAGUGGAAAGUUCACACUGUGACGGUAUCUUACCAGAAAGGGACGGCUAACUACGUG